CCCAGAACAUGAGACUGGGUUUGACAUCAAGUGCUUCAAACAUGAAGAGCUGUUCUGAUAUAAAUGGGCAUUUGAGUAGGUUAUACAAAAUCAGGCUUGGAGAACAGCGUGGUGGAGGAAGAUUCACUCUUAAGCAGCCAGAUGAGUGACACUGAGGCAAGAUUCAGAAGAUCCAGACCAGUGAAUGUUUGCCUGUUUAUACAAAGAACAAAGAACAAAGUAAGACGAGGAGACCAACAGUCACUCUGUAAGAUGCCAUCUGAGGGUGACAGAGGAUGCCAAGUUGCCUCCACUGAAGAAACAACUGUAUGCUCUCAUCAAAAUAGAACAAAUACUGGGCUGUACUAGCAGUGAUUUGAAGAUUUUCCAGAUCUGCUUCUCCUCCACUAGAUCUCUUCUUCCAUUUUGACCUGCUGACAUACGUUUUUUUGGGUCAUCCAAGUCAUUCAAGCAUCUCUUCUCUACGUCAUCUCAUUUAUAAAUGAAGCCCUGCACAAGCAAUGACACCACCUCAUCUAAUGCUGCAGAUCUUCCCUGAAUGCUGGAAACCAAAAGGCUUGUUAAGAACACGCUGUAAUAAAAGUUG
Long non-coding RNA from Calypte anna (Anna's hummingbird), 586 nucleotides. RefSeq lists it as uncharacterized. Lineage: Eukaryota; Metazoa; Chordata; Aves; Apodiformes; Trochilidae. The record is from RefSeq and is a predicted model, not a curated record. The transcript has 4 exons.